Small nuclear RNA from Parambassis ranga (Indian glassy fish), 164 nucleotides. Its record names the gene U1. It matches the Rfam family "U1 spliceosomal RNA". From Rfam's summary of the family: U1 is a small nuclear RNA (snRNA) component of the spliceosome (involved in pre-mRNA splicing). Its 5' end forms complementary base pairs with the 5' splice junction, thus defining the 5' donor site of an intron. NCBI's taxonomy places the organism in Eukaryota, Metazoa, Chordata, Actinopteri, Ambassidae. The record is from Ensembl.
CAGCUUACCUGGCAGGGGAGAUACCAUGACCAAGAAGGUGGUUCACCCAGGGUGAGGCUCAGACAUUGCACUCUAGGUUGUGCUGACCCCUGCGAUUCCCCAAAUGUGGGAAUCUCGACUGCAUAAUUUCUGGUAGUGGGGGACUGCGUUCGCGCUCUCCCCUG